Molecule: ribosomal RNA, 274 nt
Filed under: uncultured bacterium
Lineage: Bacteria
Description: partial 16S ribosomal RNA
Rfam family: Bacterial small subunit ribosomal RNA
Source: RNAcentral
AUACGGAGGGUGCAAGCGUUAAUCGGAAUUACUGGGCGUAAAGCGCUCGUAGGCGGCUUGUUAAGUCGGAUGUGAAAGCCCCGGGCUCAACCUGGGAACUGCAUUCGAUACUGGCAGGCUAGAGUAUAGUAGAGGCAAGUGGAAUUCCGGGUGUAGCGGUGAAAUGCGUAGAUAUCCGGGGGAACAUCAGUGGCGAAGGCGACUUGCUGGACUAAUACUGACGCUGAGGAGCGAAAGCGUGGGGAGCAAACAGGAUUAGAUACCCGAGUAGUCC